This 484-nucleotide ribosomal RNA is filed under the name Shigella flexneri. Its description in RNAcentral is "bacterial SSU rRNA". It matches the Rfam family "Bacterial small subunit ribosomal RNA", at positions 8 to 481 of the family's 1533-position model. Lineage: Bacteria; Pseudomonadati; Pseudomonadota; Gammaproteobacteria; Enterobacterales; Enterobacteriaceae. The record is from RNAcentral.
AGAGUUUGAUCCUGGCUCAGAUUGAACGCUGGCGGCAGGCCUAACACAUGCAAGUCGAACGGUAACAGGAAGCAGCUUGCUUUUUCGCUGACGAGUGGCGGACGGGUGAGUAAUGUCUGGGAAACUGCCUGAUGGAGGGGGAUAACUACUGGAAACGGUAGCUAAUACCGCAUAACGUCGCAAGACCAAAGAGGGGGACCUUCGGGCCUCUUGCCAUCGGAUGUGCCCAGAUGGGAUUAGCUAGUAGGUGGGGUAACGGCUCACCUAGGCGACGAUCCCUAGGUGGUCUGAGAGGAUGACCAGCCACACUGGAACUGAGACACGGUCCAGACUCCUACGGGAGGCAGCAGUGGGGAAUAUUGCACAAUGGGCGCAAGCCUGAUGCAGCCAUGCCGCGUGUAUGAAGAAGGCCUUCGGGUUGUAAAGUGCUUUCAGCGGGGAGGAAGGGAGUAAAGUUAAUACCUUUGCUCAUUGACGUUACCCG